Molecule: ribosomal RNA, 253 nt
Filed under: uncultured bacterium
Lineage: Bacteria
Description: partial 16S ribosomal RNA
Rfam family: Bacterial small subunit ribosomal RNA
Source: RNAcentral
UACGUAGGGAGCAAGCGUUGUCCGGAAUCAUUGGGCGUAAAGCGCGCGUAGGCGGCCCUGUAAGUCCGUUGUGAAAGUCAAAGGCUCAACCUUUGAAAGCCGAUGGAUACUGCAGGGCUAGAGUCCGGAAGAGGCGAGUGGGAUUCCUGGUGUAGCGGUGGAAUGCGCAGAUAUCAGGAGGAACACCAAUAGCGAAGGCAGCUCGCUGGGACGGUACUGACGCUAAGGCGCGAAAGCGUGGGGAGCGAACAGG